Molecule: long non-coding RNA, 2507 nt
Organism: Malus domestica (apple)
Lineage: Eukaryota; Viridiplantae; Streptophyta; Magnoliopsida; Rosales; Rosaceae
Source: RefSeq, a predicted model, not a curated record
UUUCUUCCUCGUUCUCUCUGUCCCACACUCUCCUUCCCUUUCCUCUUUUUUUCUGAUUAACUGCCAAAAACAAUUAAGAAUAACAAGAUUAACCAAUGAGGCUAAGAGACCUCCAAGUCUAUAAAAGCAACGACAAUUCCUCCACACCUACACAGAGUCGCAGACUCACACUGAAACCAUUAGAUCCAAAACUGCGAUCGCAACUUCUUCCUGCAAUGGAUUUUGCACCGCAUGAUCUCGGAGGUUCGAAUUGAAACGCGGUCGAGUUCGAGCCGAGCUCGGAUCUCAGUAGAGCAGAAAGAGAAGAAAGCGAGGAGAGAGGAAGAGGGGAAUGCGGAAUUGGCGAGGGGGAAUGAUGGUGGCUCUUGGCGUUUGUGAAAACAUAGGAGCAGAGGAAGAAGCCCAGAACUCACAGAUGGGCUCGUAGGGAGGAGGAAGAAGCAGGUCUUAGCAAGUCCUGUGGUUUGGGGAGGCCUUUAGUCCACACGAGUCCCCUUUAGUCCCACUUAACUUAGUCCCAGCACCUAUCAAACAUGGGACUGUAGUCCAGUCCAGUCCAGUCCAGUCCAGUCCCUCCUAAAGAGGACAUUUGACUUCCUCUGGAGCGAAACGUGAUCAAACGGACGAAUUUUGGAGUAAUUCAAAUUGGAGGAUGUUCGUGUGUUCCUUAGCUUGUUCAUAUCAAAAUUUCAGUAAUUUUUACCAAGCGAUUAUUUUCUGGUGAUUAAAUAAAGAAGCAGUGUGCGUUGUUGGAAAGUGACAUUUUUGGGCUUAAUUGCAGUUUUUGGAGCCCAAGAUGAUCUUAGAUGGGUUCGUAGCCUUCUGGAGGGUUGUCCCUGAAAUUGACUAAGGCUUCUUGUGGUUAAUAUAUGUAACUUCUUAGGAUGGACGACACGUCUUAAGGGUUAUAUGGUUUUUCAAAAGGUUUUCACAAAACUUAAUGAGUCUUACAUGUUCACAUUCUAUCUGGACACCAUGGACGGGUUGCAUGUUAGAUAUACGUUAUAUGUUGGAGGUUCCAAGUAGGAUAUAUAUUAGGAAAACCUAAUCUUCAAAAUAUGCAUGUGUAAUUCAUAAGUAAUUGGAAGAACUACAUAGGAUUGUUAAGGUGACGGCGGAACCCUAGUGCUUUAUCACUUUGAAUUCUAAAAAAUUGUUUCUUUCUCUUUCUUUGAAAUUGCAGAUUUUAGUUAACCUUUUACUUGAAUUCAUUUUUCUUAAGUUAGGUCACUAAAUCACCUUUUUCCAAAACUUUGUUCUUAAUAAUUAGUUGAGAUUUGGUUUGUGUAAAUUUAUUUAAAUUAACUAGUUGAGAUUUGGUUUGCGUAAAUUUAUUUAAAUUAACCACUAUGGAGAACGACCUUACUUGAGCCAACUAUACUAUGAUAAUCUUGUUUCUUUUUCAAGUAUUUUAGGUGUUUUUAACCAUUUAUGUGCAUGUGGUAAAAAACAUAUCAAGAAAUUGACGCCCCUGCCAGAGAUUGAUUUUAAAUAGAUUUUUGUUUAUCAUAUUCUCAAUUAAUUAUUCCCGUAUAUAUUUAUAAAAAACAUUAAUUUUCGUUUUUUUUUUAAUUUCUGCAGAUUGUGAGCACUGCAUGGUCUGUACCAGAUCACAAAAGUAGCAAUUGACAAAUUUUGAUCCAGAACUUGAACGAAUAGUAAGGAGCAGAAUCUGCAGUGGGAACCCUCACGGCAGGGAAUAAUUUUGCAUAAUCUGUUUAUUGGGUUUUUGGACAGCGAAGAGGCUAUGGCUUUUGUUCUACCAACAACAGGAUAAUCGUUGAAGGAGCCAUUGGUAGCUCAUGCCACCGAGAAAUAUCUUGGUAAAAGGAUUUUCAGCCGAAUUUAUCAAACUUAUACAUUUUCCUUACACUUUGAAGGAUGAGGCAAUGAGAUGGUUACUUACACUUCCAUCCGGAAGCAUUACUUCGUGGGCCUAACUCGCGUUUUUAAGCAAGUAUUACCCAACAUCAAAGAUGCUUGAUAUGAGUACACAAAUUUAACAUUUUCCCAGAAACCUAAUGAAGCAAUUCAUGAAGCAUGGGAACGUUACAAAGAUUUGCUCCGGAAAUGUCUGCAUUCAGGCAUUAAUGGUGACACUCAAAUGAAUUUAUUUUACAGAGGGCUAAAUUUGGCAACUAAGACUUUUGUAAAUGCUUCUUAUGGAGGAACGUAUUCAGACAAACAUGCUCUGCAAGCGUAUCAAUUAUUUGAGAAAAUGGCAACAUAAUCUCAACAAUGGGCGAUUGAUCUACCUCAGACUAGGGGUGUUUUUGAGAUGUUUAGUGGAUCUCCACAAAUAGAAAAGAUGGAGAAAAAGUUAGAAACUUUUGAUGCAAAAUUUGAUAUGCUUUUACAAAGAAUGACAACACAUGUGCAGUAGGUUGAGGUCCAAUAGCUUACUGCAACAGCUUGUACCAUUUGUGGCAUCACAACGCAUGAUUUCAUAGGCUGCCCAUAUAGGGACGUGUAUACGGAACAAGAUAAUGCAUUUGAUAAUUAUUAGA